This 845-nucleotide ribosomal RNA is filed under the name Pseudoseptoria sp. RNAcentral describes it as "partial large subunit ribosomal RNA". It matches the Rfam family "Eukaryotic large subunit ribosomal RNA", at positions 31 to 891 of the family's 3401-position model. Lineage: Eukaryota; Fungi; Ascomycota; Dothideomycetes; Dothideales; Dothioraceae. The record is from RNAcentral.
AANNUAGCAUAUCAAUAAGCGGAGGAAAAGAAACCAACAGGGAUUGCCCUAGUAAACGGCCGGAGUGAAGCGGCAAAAGCUCAAAUUUUGAAAGCUGGCCUUCGGGUCCGCAUUGUAAUUUGUAGAGGAUGCUUUGGGGCAGCCGCCUGUCUAAGUUCCUUGGAACAGGACGUCAUAGAGGGUGAGAAUCCCGUAUGUGACAGGACAUGGCACCCUAUGUAAAGCUCCUUCGACGAGUCGAGUUGUUUGGGAAUGCAGCUCUAAAUGGGAGGUAAAUUUCUUCUAAAGCUAAAUACCGGCGAGAGACCGAUAGCGCACAAGUAGAGUGAUCGAAAGAUGAAAAGCACUUUGGAAAGAGAGUUAAAAAGCACGUGAAAUUGUUGAAAGGGAAGCGCUUGCAAUCAGACUUGUCCUAGGUUGUUCAGCCGGUCUUCUGACCGGUCCAUUCAGCCUGGGACAGGCCAGCAUCAGUUUCGGCGGUCGGAUAAAGGCUCUGGGAAUGUGGCUCGCCCUUCGGGGUGAGUGUUAUAGCCCAGGGUGUAAUACGGCCAGCCGGGACUGAGGUCCGCGCUUCGGCUAGGAUGCUGGCGUAAUGGUUGUAAGCGACCCGUCUUGAAACACGGACCAAGGAGUCUAACAUCUAUGCGAGUGUUCGGGUGUCAAACCCCUGCGCGUAAUGAAAGUGAACGGAGGUGGGAACCGCAAGGUGCACCAUCGACCGAUCCUGAUGUCUUCGGAUGGAUUUGAGUAAGAGCAUAGCUGUUGGGACCCGAAAGAUGGUGAACUAUGCCUGAAUAGGGUGAAGCCAGAGGAAACUCUGGUGGAGGCUCGCAGCGGUUCUGACU